Molecule: long non-coding RNA, 480 nt
Organism: Sapajus apella (tufted capuchin)
Lineage: Eukaryota; Metazoa; Chordata; Mammalia; Primates; Cebidae
Exons: 4
Source: RefSeq, a predicted model, not a curated record
ACAGUUUCAGCAGUCACAUAAAUAAGAGCUCCAGUUUACAGUUUUAGGACUCACAUGUGAAACGGUUUCUAUUUACAUUUCAGCAGUCACAUAUGAAAGGGCUCCGGUUUACAUUUUAGGACUCACAUGUGAAACGGUUUCUGUUUACACUUUCAGGAGUUACAUAGGAAAGGACUCCCUUUUACCGUUUUAGGACUGACAAGUAAAAUGGUUUCUGUUUACAGUUUCAGCAGUCACAUAAAAAAGCUCCGGUUUACAGUUGUAGAACUGACAAGUAAAACGAUUUCUAUUUGCAGUUUCAGCAGUCACAUAAAAAAGAGCUCCGGUUUACAGUUGUAGGAAUCACAUGUGAAACGGUUUCUGUUUACCGUUUCAGGAUCACAGACGAAAGGGCUCCGGUUUACAAUUUUAGGCCUCACAUGUGAAACGGUUUAUGUUUCCAGUUUCAGCAGUCACAUAGCGAAGGCUCUGGUUUACAGU